This 16-nucleotide ribosomal RNA is filed under the name Lentinula raphanica. Its description in RNAcentral is "partial large subunit ribosomal RNA". The record is from RNAcentral. Lineage: Eukaryota; Fungi; Basidiomycota; Agaricomycetes; Agaricales; Omphalotaceae.
GCUUGACUCCAAAUCA